Molecule: ribosomal RNA, 460 nt
Filed under: uncultured bacterium
Lineage: Bacteria
Description: partial 16S ribosomal RNA
Rfam family: Bacterial small subunit ribosomal RNA
Source: RNAcentral
CCUACGGGUGGCAGCAGUGAGGAAUAUUGGUCAAUGGGCGCGAGCCUGAACCAGCCAAGUAGCGUGAAGGAUGACUGCCCUACGGGUUGUAAACUUCUUUUAUAAAGGAAUAAAGUGAGGCACGUGUGCCUUUUUGUAUGUACUUUAUGAAUAAGGAUCGGCUAACUCCGUGCCAGCAGCCGCGGUAAUACGGAGGAUCCGAGCGUUAUCCGGAUUUAUUGGGUUUAAAGGGAGCGUCGAUGGGUUGUUAAGUCAGUUGUGAAAGUUUGCGGCUCAACCGUAAAAUUGCAAUUGAUACUGGCAGCCUUGAGUACAGUUGAGGUAGGCGGAAUGCGUGGUGUAGCGGUGAAAUGCAUAGAUAUCACGCAGAACUCCGAUUGCGAAGGCAGCUUACUAAACUAUAACUGACACUGAAGCACGAAAGCGUGGGGAUCAAACAGGAUUAGAUACCCUGGUAGUC